AUGAGGAACGGACAGCUGAAAGCCCAACAUGGGACAGAGAUCCGACACCGAGCGGCGGCUUCCCAGGAAUCGAGGGAUGCGCAUGCCAGAGGGAACGAAAGGAACCUGGGUCAGAGCAGAUGGGAACCACUGACCAUUGCCCAUGGUGGCCCUAGCCCUAGCAGCCAGAACGUCACUAAAUACGUCGUUCGAGUUCCCAAGAAUACAACCAAAAAAUGUAACAUCAUGGCUUUUAAUGCAGCCGAUAAAGUCAACUUUGCUACGUGGAAUCAGGCUCGGCUGAAGCGGGACUUGAGCAACAAGAAAAUCUACCAAGAGGAGAUGUCCGAAUCUGCGCGGGCAGCGAGUUCAACCGCAAGCUUCGGGAGGAGGCUCGGAGGAAGAAGUACGGCAUCGUCCUCUAGGAGUUCUGGCCCGAGGACCAGCCCUGGCUGCUCCGGGUCAACGGCAAAUCGGGCAGGAAGUUCAAGGGCAUCAAGAAGGGAGGGUGACAGAGAACACGCCUUACUAUAUCUUCACCCAGUGCCCUGACGGGGCCUUGGAGGCCUUCCCCGUGCACAACUGGUACAAUUUCACGCUGCUGGCCCGGUAGGCACCGCACGCUCACUGCCGAGGAGGCCGAGGAGGAGGGGGAGAGGAGGAACAAGGUGCGGAACCACUUCAACAUCAUGCGGCAGCCGCGGCUCAAGGAUCAGGACCAGGACGAGGACGAGGAGGAGGAGAAGGAGAAACGCGGUCGCAGGAAGGCAAACGAGCUGCGCAUCCACGACCUGGAGAUGUCAUCCGAUGCCAGCCACGCCAGCGGUGAGGAGAAGGCAGAGCCCCCAAGGCCAAGAACAAGGAGCCACUGGCCAAGGGCGGCAGGAAAAAGAAGAAGGGCUCAGACGAUGAGGCCUUCGAGAACAGCGAUGAUGGGGACUUCGAGGGCCAGGAGGUGAACUACAUGUCGGACGGCUCCAGCAGCUCCCAGGAUGAGCCUGAGAGCAAGGCCAAGGCGCCCCAGCAGGAGGAGGGGCCCAAGGGUGUUGAUGAGCAGAGCAACAGUAGUGAGGAGAGUGAGGAGGAGAAGUCGCCCGAGGAGGACAAGGAGUAGGAGGAGAAGAAGGCGGCCACCCCGCAGGAGAAGAAGGGCAAGAAAGACAGCAGCUAGGAGUCGGACAGCUCAGAGGAGAGCGACAUUGACAGCUAGGCCUCCUCGGCCCUCUUCAUGGCGAAGAAGAUGAUGCCAUCCACGAUAGAGUGGAAGCCGUCGGGAGGGAGCUGGAGGGGCAACAGCCGCCCAGGCACGCCCAGCGCAGAGGGUGGCAGCACCUCCUCCACCCUGCGGGCGACUACCAGCAAGGGAAGCGGGUGAGCGAGAUGCCUGCAGCCAAGCGGUUGCGGCUGGACGCGGUGCCCCAGAGCCUGUCUGGGAAGUCGACCCCCUAGCCGCCAUCCGGCAAGUCAACAUCCAGCAGCGGCGACGUGCAGGUGACUGAGGAUGCUGCGCGCCUCUACCUGACAGGGAAGCCCAUGACCACUAAGGACCUGCUGAAAAAGUUCCAGACCAAGAAGACAGGGCUGAUCAGCGAGCAGACAGUGAACGUGCUGGCCCAGAUCCUCAGGUGCCUCAACCCCGAGCGCAAGAUGAUCAGUGACAAAAUGCACUUCUCCCUCAAGGAGUGAGGCUCUGUCCAACACACGGCUCUGCCCUCCAGAACUCAGGCUCUCACUGCCCCUUUGCCAUCCCGGAGUGAGGCUCUGUCCAGUACACGGGCUCUGCUCUCCAGAACUUCAGGCUCUCACUGCCCCUUCGCCAUCAUGCUCCCCGACUCCCAGGGCCCCGUAGUUAGCAAUUCUGGAAAAGUUUAAGCCAUCUCCUCAUCAGGCCCCUUCUUCUGGACUCUUCAGAUGCCUGUUAGGCCUCCUUCUUAUUGUCCUCUUUCUCCCAGCUCAGCCUCCCUCACACUGACCUGUGUUGGUCACUGGGUAACUUCUACUGUUCUCCCUUCUGCUUCCCCUCUCUCUUCAGCAGUGACUUAUCCACCACAUAGUCCAUUAAGUCUUCAGUUUUGGCUGGGCAUGAUGAUGAGUGCCUGCAGUCCCAGCUACUUGGGAGGCUUAGCCCAGUUCAAGGCUGCAGUGAACUACGAUGGUGCCACUGCACUCCAGCCUGGGUGACAGAAUGAGAUCCUGGCACACACACAAAAAAGUAUCCAGGCAUGGUGGCAGGCGCCUGUGGUCCCAGCUAUUCUGUAGGCUGAGGCACGGGAAUCACUUGAACCUGGGAGGUGGAGGUUGCUGUGAGCCGAGACCACACCAGUGCACUCCAGCCUAGGUGACAGAGUGGGACUCAGUCUCAGGAAGAAAAAAAAAAAAAAAGAU
Molecule: RNA transcript, 2364 nt
Organism: Mandrillus leucophaeus (drill)
Lineage: Eukaryota; Metazoa; Chordata; Mammalia; Primates; Cercopithecidae
Gene name: general transcription factor IIF subunit 1 pseudogene
Exons: 2
Source: RefSeq, a predicted model, not a curated record